This is a non-coding RNA of Monodelphis domestica (gray short-tailed opossum), 3163 nucleotides long. The record is from RefSeq and is a predicted model, not a curated record. NCBI's taxonomy places the organism in Eukaryota, Metazoa, Chordata, Mammalia, Didelphimorphia, Didelphidae.
GCCCUCGGCCCUGGGCUUGGGAGCCCCACACAGCGCGCGGACGCUGGCCCGGGGCCGGCCUGUCCAGCUUCGGACAUCUAUCAGCCGAGGGCCCCCAGAGCGAGUCCCGAAAUGUGUGUGCCUGCUGGGGACCACUCCAUACAUUGGCUCUAUUGACAAAUGGAUCUCUCCGUGCCCAUUGCGUGCCUCUCCUCUUGGCCAAGAAGCGGGAGGCAGGCUUCGUCCUCGUUAUUGUGGAGCCCGACGUGGUCAUGCCAUGGAUCCUGAUUCCGGGAGUCUUCCUGGCUGUUUUCCUUUGGAGUGUUUCCACAUUGUUCUGGUUCUGCUCACGUCUCUACGUCAGUUCAUACAGCACCUCCCAGACUUCUCGGAAGCUGUCUUGGUCAUCUUCCUCACAGACCUGCGAUACUCCAUCAAAACACGCCCUGUGCUGCGUUCAGCCAUUCCCCAACGGCUUGGCACCCCCUUUGUUUCCAGUUUCUGCCACCACAAAGUGUCCGUACAGACGAUUCCUUUUUCUCUUUCUUGGAUCUUUGCGGUCGAGGUCUAGAAGUGCUGUGGCUGAGGGCACACACAGCUCCAAUCGCUUUCCAGAAUGGUGGAGCAAACACGAGCGCCACCAACAAGGCCUUUGUAUUACUGGGUUCCUGCAAUCUGUCCAACGCUUACUUGCCGUCUUUGCCGAUCUGGUAGGUGCUGAGCUUCUCCUUUCAGAGCUCCCUCAGGAACAGGCAGGGAGAAUACAGCUUGUACCUGAUAUUCUGCCAACAUCGCCAUGCCAUCUAUGGAUGGCAAGAAACAAAGCAAGUCCAGAACAACAACCGUUUGAGAACACAGAGCAUAUAUCCCUCCUGACUUUCCUCCAAGGGGAUGGAAUCAUCUUACAGACAGGAUCUCAUUUGUGGUCACUGCAUUCUCUUGAGGUAGGCAGCAAGUCACUAUUAUCAAGAAAACAAGAUUUGAGAUUUCACAGUAGCAGUGAGAGCUGAGGGCAGAAACAUUGAGAAGAAAGUUAGAAGACUGGCUCUCUAAUCCUGGGUCCGUAACUUCCAUGUAGUUAACCUGUUAACAUGGCUAAGCAUUAUAGAGGCUAAAAAUUAAUAUUUUCAUAUUGGAGACUCAUCAUCCAAUAGGUUGGCCUCAUGGAUCAAGAGAAAAUGAACUCAGGAUCUUAGGUGUCCAAUUUAGGGCUACGAGCUCUAGCGGAAGCUUCUUUUUGGUUUCCCAUCUAAUUGUCUCAAGCUUCCAGUUAGCUUUGAGUACGAAGACUUGGCCUACAAGGUGAAGACCAAGAAUUGCCUGCCAUGAAUGUAUUCCUCACAUCACAGAAGUUCUGUUGAUUUAAAGAAUAACAGGCAAACAGUUAGUGGAGAAAGAAAUUUCUUUCUCUUUAUAAGAAGAACGUGUGAUAUUUAUUGAAUGAGGGAUGUUCACUGAAUGAUGAAAACUUGCUCUCCUAAUUAGCACCCCACUUCCACCAGCUGCAUGGCUUCCAGAGAGAACAGUACAGUAUAACAUGAUUGUGAAAGGACAUAACUUAGGACCUAGCAAGGAUCAGAGACUCUGCAUUUAGACAAUUUGUACUUUACGUAGCAAAUCAAUCACUGCUUGUUUGGUGAGGAACACCACCUCAUUGUUGUUCUGACACCAAACCUCAAAAUGGCAAGGCUGUUCCGAGGCUCUCUUGCCAGCUAUCACAACAAAGGGGUAACCAAGUUUGUUAGCAUCUUUCAAUCUGUUUCCAAUUGUCAAAUGUAUCCUGUCGUCAAGCAAAACCUCCCCCUUCAGCUGGGGCAAGGCUUCUGUGAUAUCGUCAUAUAAAGUCCCCAUCAACUCUAUUCCCAUUUCUUCCUUGCUGCCCUUUUUGGGAGGAAUAAGGCAUACUUGGUAAGGGGCAAGCAGACUAGGCCAGCGGAUACAUUCUUCCAUGGAAAGCAUUUCGAUGGCUGCAGCUAAAAUGCGGGUCACACCUAACCCAUAGCACCCCAUUUCUAAUAGCGAAGGCUUGCCCUGAGCAUUGAUGAACUCAGCAUUGAAUACAGAUGAGUACUUGGUGCCCAGAUAAAAGGUGUGCCCCACUUCAACGCCUUUGGUUUCUGUCAGUUUCCCUUGGCACACUGGGCAAGUUGGAUCUCUGGGAUCCAGCGUCUCAACAUUGGCCGCGAAGUUGCAAUUGGAGCAGACUGCAAGCACGUCUUCCCCAAUGUUCAAGGGGAGCUGAAACUCGUGAGACAUUGUUCCACCGAUGCUCCCCACAGCUGCCUGGACCCUCACAAACUGAAGCCCAAGUCGGUUAAACACCCUGCCGUAAGCUUCGCAUACCAGGUCAUACGUCUGGUGAGCGGCCUCAGAAGAGCAGUCAAAGGUGUACAUGUCCUUCAUGUAAAACUCCCGGCCCCGCAGCAGGCCAAAGCGGGGCCUGGGCUCAUCCCGGAACUUGCGUGUGAUCUGAUAGAGAAGGUAGGGAAGCUGCUUGUAGGACAGAGUCUUCUGAGAGGCCAUCAGGCUGGUGAUGACUUCCUCAUGGGUCGGUCCCAAACAAUAGUCUUUGUUAUGACGAUCCUGCAGCCGAAAAAGCUCUUUGCCCAUCAGGUUCCACCGGUCGGUGACUCUCCAGAGCUCAGCUGAGCUCAGGGUGGGCAUGUCAAGCUUCUGCCCACCGAUGGCCUGCAUCUCCUGGUCUAUCACCUUGACCAGCUUCUCCAUGGCUCGAACAGUAUAGGGCAGGUAGUGGUAACAGCCAGGGCCAGCAGGGUGAAUCAGCCCCGUCUGAAGCAUCAGCCUCUGGCUCUUACAGGUCACUUCGGCAGACUUGCUCUCUAGUCCAACCACUUGAUCUUCCCGGAGGUUCUGAGGCUGGAAGAAAUGAGACAGCACCAGGCGUUUUGCUCUGCCUGGAGGGUGAUGGUAAAGCCUGCAAGGAGUAUGUUGUGACCGCUGGCAAAUGGCCCACAGUACACGGGGAAAGGCCCUCCAUCUUCUCAGAAGCCCUUCCAUGCCACCCCAGGGCAGGAACCACUCAGAUCUGUGGGGAAAUGAGUUAUGUGCCAUGAAGCAUUCGUUCCAUAGCGUUAGAUCAUCUGCAUCAGGUGGCUGUUGGGAGAAAGUGGGCUGUUCUUAACCUAAAGAUGCCAUCUAAUAAAUCUAUUUUCUUUCCUUCUAA